Molecule: unclassified non-coding RNA, 433 nt
Filed under: uncultured Tomentella
Lineage: Eukaryota; Fungi; Basidiomycota; Agaricomycetes; Thelephorales; Thelephoraceae
Description: sequence contains ITS2
Rfam family: 5.8S ribosomal RNA (bases 1-155)
Source: RNAcentral
AACUUUCAACAACUGAUCACUUGGCUCUCGCAUCGAUGAAGAACGCAGCGAAAUGCGAUAAGUAAUGUGAAUUGCAGAAUUCAGUGAAUCAUCGAAUCUUUGAACGCACCUUGCGCCCUUUGGCUAUUCUGAAGGGCAUGCCUGUUUGAGUAUCAUGAACACCUCAACUCUCAUGGUCCGCCAUGAUGAGCUUGGACUUUGGGGGUCUUGCCGGCCUAGUGUCGGCUCCUCUCAAAUGGAUCAGCUUGCCAGUGUUUGGUGGCGUCACAGGUGUGAUAACUAUCUACGCUUGUGGUUUUCUGCCAUAUAACCUUCAGUGAUGGAGGUUCUCUGGAGCUCACAGAUGUCUCUCCUUGGGGAGGACAGCUUUUGAACGUUUGAUCUCAAAUCAGGUAGGACUACCCGCUGAACUUAAGCAUAUCAAUAAGCGGCU